This is an RNA transcript of Rhineura floridana, 2254 nucleotides long. It is a transcript of the gene named interleukin 17D, with no coding region annotated. The record is from RefSeq and is a predicted model, not a curated record. Lineage: Eukaryota; Metazoa; Chordata; Lepidosauria; Squamata; Rhineuridae. The transcript is spliced from 4 exons.
AGCCCUUAGGCUGCCCCGCCGCGUCCCACCCCCUCGCUAAAGUCACACACCCCAACUCAGGAAAGGCUCCGAGCAGCAGCCCCGCGGGGCCGGUGUUGAGAAUGAUUUUGGCACCGGCAGGCAGGGGCGACGCCGCGAGAAGCGGGGGCACUCUUCCAACUUUUCCUCCCGCGCCCCCACCGCGAGAGGCCAGGCCGCCCGCGCCUAGCAAAACGACGCUUCCCACCGGCUUGGCGCGCCUGGCCGGACUCCGCGUCCCCACCAUGCAGCCGGCCGAGGUAUGGAUGCUUGCUUGGCUUCUAUUGUGUGGUCUUCCUUUCCCUGGAUCAGAGACCUUCAAGGUAAGCAAGCGCCCAAUGCGGACUCGAACCUGCGCUGACCGGCCUGAAGAGCUUCUGGAACAGCUGUAUGGGAGACUCACGGCAGGCAUGCUCAGUGCCUUCCACCACACCCUGCAGCUGGAGCCGCUGGAGAAAGAUCGUAAUAUCAGUUGUCCAGCAGGGGGCAGACCAGCUACGGACAAGAAGUACCAACUCCCCAUCAAUCUCAACAGUGUCUCCCCUUGGUCUUAUAGAAUGUCUUACGAUCCUGCAAGGUAUCCAAAGUACAUUCCUGAAGCCUACUGCCUGUGCAAGGGCUGUCUCACUGGUGUUUACGGUGAGGAGAAUUUCCACUUUCGGAGUAUCCCCGUGUUUAUGCCGACUGUCAUCUUGCGCCGAACCACGUCCUGCACUGGAGGCCGCUAUGUAUACACAGAGGAUUACGUCACUAUCCCUGUGGGCUGCACCUGUGUACCAGAGCACGAAAAGGAAGCAGAGGGUGUCAAUUCCAGCAUAGACAAGCAAGCAGUAAAAUUGCUGGGGAAUCAGAAUGACAAGCCAGCAUCAGAAUGAAGAAUGCAAAAGAAACCUAAGGACAAAGGUUGCUUUGCAUGUCUUUUUUAGUUUCAGGGGAUUACAGAACUCAUUCACACACAUGCCUGUAACAUGAUGAGUGCCGCAGCCUUAAGUGAUCAUCUGUGUGAAUGAGCCAUUGAAGAAUAAUACACACACACAGAACACCUCAAAUAUAAUUCAUUUCAGUGGAGUCAGCUCAACAGAUGCAGCUGUGAGGCACCAGUUUUUGGGAGGUCAAGUCAUGCAUGUGCAUAGGUAAAGCCAGCCCACAGAAUAAGUGUGCUUUGAAAAUGUAUAAUUACAAAUGUUGAAGACAGAUGUUGAAGCCAGUUGAACUCAAAUGUGGUGAAUGGAUGGAGCCCAUAGUGGAGUAUGGCUGAGUCUUACUGAAAUCUGAGAGUACCAGCAUGAGCCUAAGCAUACUUACUUGGAAGUAAAGCCUGCCGUAAGACUUGCUAUCUAAUGUUUUGAAACUGCAACCUUACACACUGCAUCAUUCUCUUCAGCUCCUCUCCACUGAAGACCAGUUCAUACUUUGGGGAGCAAGUGCACUUCCCACUUGUGGAUUAGUGUUUGCAGUACCAGAGCCUAUAAAGGGUGAAGAGGAGAUGCCCAUCUCCAAACAUGAUGGAUGCACGCUGCAGACCUGCAAUUGUCCUGGGGUUCCCUGUUACAGGUCCACCAUUUUGUGACCCAACUGUUUAGAGGUGCAUGGUAUACAGUGUUUUGCAUCAUACUUUACAAUGAGCAACUGCCAAAUCAGAGGAAUGCAUAUACAGCAGGCAUUGUUAUCAUGUACACUGUAAUAGUGUGAAUUGGUUUUUAUGUACUUAUAAGCUCGGCUACAGCCUCAUGUUACUGAGGGCAAGUGAGGACCACUGAGAGUGAGGGAGAGUGAGGGCAACAUAAGAAUAAGAUGUUUUUCCGAGAAGUGCUGAAAAAUGCUACUUUAUGACUACGUGCAAUUUUUCCCUCAGAAAACCCUGACUAGUUUUGUUUCAGCUUUAAUUGUUCUUUCUGCAUUCAAAGGGAGAAAACAUUGCACAAAAUAUCAUUUCAAAGCAGCAGGAUCACACUCCCUGAAAAAGUAGUGUCACCACAAUGCAAAGAAAUUGCAGUCUAUAAACAGUUCACUAAAGGGGCAGUGCAAACUGCAAGAAGUCAAGUACUCUACUGAUGUUAAUUGGAAGUAAACUACUGGGGGGGUUUCCUGGUGUACCCCACAAAUCUUGACAUGUAAUCACAAAAUACCUCUGCUUGCACAGUUAUCCAAAGGCACAAACCAGGGCAGGCAUCUUAAUGUAAUGAUUACAUUACACAAUCUCGUCUGUUUAGUGGGUGUGCAUCAACCCUAUAUA